GUCUGAUUCUCUCGUCCCUUGCCACACAUUAGAGUGCCUGAGAUAUUGGCUCGAGUCUAUUGAGUAAUAAGCGACAUGGUGUGUUCUUCAAUUACCAAUUCUCCAUCCAUGCACACUGUGUUUUAGUAAGUGUGUAGCAAAAGCUAAUAUGCAGAAAUAAUGCGUCGAUUAUGUUCGGGCCAAAGAAUCAAUGUCAUCGUCCUGCUUUCUGAAGCCUGUUGGCCUUGUGAAGUCAAAUGGGUAAUGAGCAUUUUGACAAGUCCAAUUCAUGAACUCUGAGAACUAACUGAAUGAAUUGUUCCUUCCUUCCCGUACCUAUAUUACGGCGUUUCGGCUCUCG
This 340-nucleotide long non-coding RNA is filed under the name Hordeum vulgare. RNAcentral's name for it is "long non-coding RNA (HVUL_LNC013973)". Lineage: Eukaryota; Viridiplantae; Streptophyta; Magnoliopsida; Poales; Poaceae. The record is from RNAcentral.